UCAAGUAGGCCGGCAGCUACCAUGCAGUCGAGCGGAAACAAAGAGUAGCUUGCUACUCUGGUGACGAGCGGCGGACGGGUGAGUAAUGCUUGGGAACAUGCCUUGAGGUGGGGGACAACAGUUGGAAACGACUGCUAAUACCGCAUAAUGUCUACGGACCAAAGGGGGCUUCGGCUCUCGCCUUUAGAUUGGCCCAAGUGGGAUUAGCUAGUUGGUGAGGUAAUGGCUCACCAAGGCGACGAUCCCUAUCUGGUUUGAGAGGAUGAUCAGCCACACUGGGACUGAGACACGGCCCAGACUCCUACGGGAGGCAGCAGUGGGGAAUAUUGCACAAUGGGCGCAAGCCUGAUGCAGCCAUGCCGCGUGUGUGAAGAAGGCCUUCGGGUUGUAAAGCACUUUCAGUCAGGAGGAAAGGUUAAUAGUUAAUACCUGCUAGCUGUGACGUUACUGACAGAAGAAGCACCGGCUAACUCCGUGCCAGCACCCGCGGUAAUACGGAGGGUGCGAGCGUUAAUCGGAAUUACUGGGCGUAAAGCGUACGCAGGCGGUUUGUUAAGCGAGAUGUGAAAGCCCCGGGCUCAACCUGGGAACUGCAUUUCAAACUGGCAAACUAGAGUGUGAUAGAGGGUGGUAGAAUUUCAGGUGUAGCGGUGAAAUGCAUAGAGAUCUGAAGGAAUACCGAUGGCGAAGGCAGCCACCUGGGUCAACACUGACGCUCAUGUACGAGAGCGUGGGGAGCAAACGAGAUUAGAUACUGUGGUAGUCA
This 766-nucleotide ribosomal RNA is filed under the name Pseudoalteromonas sp. Its description in RNAcentral is "bacterial SSU rRNA". It matches the Rfam family "Bacterial small subunit ribosomal RNA", at positions 35 to 796 of the family's 1533-position model. Lineage: Bacteria; Pseudomonadati; Pseudomonadota; Gammaproteobacteria; Alteromonadales; Pseudoalteromonadaceae. The record is from RNAcentral.